Molecule: ribosomal RNA, 486 nt
Filed under: uncultured bacterium
Lineage: Bacteria
Description: partial 16S ribosomal RNA
Rfam family: Bacterial small subunit ribosomal RNA
Source: RNAcentral
GAUGAACGCUGGCGGCGUGCCUAAUACAUGCAAGUCGAACGCUGGAAAUCUAGCUUGCUAGAUUGAAGGAGUGGCGAACGGGUGAGUAAUACAUAAGCAACCUACCCACGAAGACUGGGAUAAUCUCUGGAAACGGGGACUAAUACCGGAUAGGUAAUCGGAAGGCAUCUUCUGAUUAUUAAAGGUUAAAAACACUGGUGGAUGGGCUUAUGGCGCAUUAGUUAGUUGGUGAGGUAACGGCCCACCAAGACGAUGAUGCGUAGCCGGCCUGAGAGGGUGAACGGCCACAUUGGGACUGAGACACGGCCCAGACUCCUACGGGAGGCAGCAGUGGGGAAUUUUCGGCAAUGGGGGAAACCCUGACCGAGCAACGCCGCGUGAGUGAUGACGGCCUUCGGGUUGUAAAGCUCUGUUGUAAGGGAAGAACGGUAGAUAGAGAAUAUCUAAAUGACGGUACCUUACCAGAAAGCCACGGCUAACUACGUG